RNAcentral lists this long non-coding RNA (5140 nucleotides) under Cricetulus griseus (Chinese hamster). RNAcentral describes it as "lncRNA (ENSCGRG00015038017.1)". Lineage: Eukaryota; Metazoa; Chordata; Mammalia; Rodentia; Cricetidae. The record is from RNAcentral.
CUGGAAGCUAGGAGAUCAAAGCCUGGUUUCUUCUCUUAGUCCCACCUCAGCUCUGCCUAUGAAGCCAUCCCUCCAUCUGACCUCCAAAGAGCAGCCUUUGUUCAUUCCAUGCAGAUGUCCUGAAUGCACACCCUGUGCAAAGGGGCGUAAACUGAGCACUUGUGGUUUCAUCCAGUUCUGGAAGAAGUGGCUGUGCAAUGGAAGGAGCCACUGUGAAUCACCAGAGUGGGGGGAAAAAAUGCAGAUUGAAAUAAACAGAGAGGCAACUGGAAAUGACGAGCAUGAGCAGGCGAUGACUAAGGGACAGAUCAGUGCGUCAGACAAGGAGCUCUUAUGGAGGUGGCUUGGAGGUGGGCAGGAGACCGGAAGAAAGAGCUAUCAUUACACUUUCAUGAUUGUGUGCCCACGUCCACCCAUGCAAAAAAAGGAGGCACUGGCGAGCAAUGAUGCCAAGUACGCUAGUGUCUGUGAAGACGAAACACCUUCAGCACUAGGAAUUACUCUGCACCUUCUUCCGCCAGUCAGCCUUUCACCAGUCCUGCACUGAGGACUGGGGACAGCUCUCAACUUCCUGUUCUCAGCCUUCCCUUCCCUGUGCCUCCCAAUCCAUGUUUACCAUCAGAGCAGAAAGAAUUUGGAGAAAGGAAUGCCUUGGUCUAAGGAGACGAUACUGAGCUGGAUGGCACUUUCUCAAAUGUUGGAAGUGCUUUUUGCUGAAGAGAUUCUGUCCAGGUCCUUGUGUAAAGUGACUCGACUCUACACGUGUAUACUCUGAGUCACCUCCAGCUCCAUGAUGGUCACAAACCUACUUCCAGUGGUGUAGAGUCCAUCUACAUAGUCUCCCCUUGCCCACACUCUUGACUUCCUACCUGCCCAACGUCUACCAGCUGAAGGGGGAGUACACAUUGGACUGGAAAUCAAAGAACAGUGGAGUCUUCUUCCAAUUUUACUUGGAUUCCAGGUAUCAAACUCAGGUUUCUAUUGCCGUGAUGAAACACCAUGACCAAAAAGGACAAAUGGAAAACGGAAAAUAGAAGCAAAGGGCCUGGGAGUGUGACUCAGACUGGCCUGACAUACACAAGGCUGAGUGAAAGGAGCAACGCAGAGAAAGAGACAAAUCCAGAGCGCCUGGUGGAAUGCCGGAAGAAGGGGGAGUAAGCUGUGAGAAGGGUCAAGUGCGGAGUAAUGGAAGCUGGAGUCUGGAAGAGGAGACUGGAGCAUGCGAAAGGCAGACGUGAGGAAUGCGGACAGAGACCAGCUCACUUGAGCGUUUCCUCUGCAGCAUGAGCUGGUCUGCAAGAGCUGCACCCAAGAAAGGGUGGAAGCCUCUGAGAGCCAGGAAGUGUUCUAGGUGCUGUAUUGCUUCAUCACUAAUAAUCUCAGCUACUUGGAAAGAGUCCAGAGGAUGGUGACAGGGAGAGUGGUGAUGGAUGGUGACCCCGCCUAUUUGCCAUCUCCCGGCUCCUUCCUCCUUCGCUGCUCUAACAGGGAUGGUGACCAAAGCUGGAACUUGUAGUGGUUGGAGGGGAGGGAGAGCAGCCUUUUUUCACACAUUCCUGCAAUCCCAUGUCGCCUUUCCUCCUCUGUUUGGCUGCCACACCCAGUUCCCAUCAAUUCAGGGAUGUGAUUAUCAGGAGAAAUGGCCAAAAGUGCCUCACCAACUAUUACAGAAAGAAUGACUCAGGACCUCCUGACGUUGUUGUUUGGAACCUUCCGUGGUGAUAGUUAACAGUAUCCCAGAUCCUGGACCAGAUAUUCUGCACAUUUUUCACAGCAUCAUGUAUGACAAGCAGUUCAGCUUGCAUGGGGAAUAGAUACUGCUACAAUGCAGCCUGUUUGACAAGUGAGAAAACAGCAUGGCGUUGUGCCUCUUCUUAUCCAUAUUUUGCCUUCCAAUAAGACACCUUACUAUAUUGAAAACCCCAGACCUCCUUCUGGAAAAGGCCUUAGACAUGGUGGAUUCUAGCCUCUCACAUGAAGCAGGUAUCAUUCUGUGGCUUGAACAGUCUUGGACUCAACAGGUAGCCUGCUCCAUUGUGCAUCGCUCUAACUGAAUCAAACCCUGAGGCUUGUUUCCCAGGCAGCCCAGAGAAAACAUAGCCAUGAAGGUGGAAAGGCUCCCAGUUCUCCCAGCAUAUGCAAGUCCUCACUGGGAUGAGCAAGAGAAGGACCAUUUCCUAACCUGACCAGGAAGAAAGACAACACCACGCUCCAGUGGGGUCCUGGAAAAGGUGGCUCUUAGGCUCUGACUCCGAGAAACCAUAGACGGUUUGUCAGCCUUAAAUCACCCAGAGGGAGGACACUGGCAUGUUGCGCCCUGGGGAUACCGUUAGGUCAAGUCCAAAACUGUUCAGCAAACAUUUGUUUAGAUCCAAAAAUGGAUAUCAAAAUGCCGAAGCCCAUCUCUGCAGGUGGUGACUCACAAAUCAGUUUGAAAGCACAAGGUACCCCUGGAAAUGGCUUCCUUGUCCAAUCUUAACGAGCCUAGCUGGCUACAUUUCUGGUUUCCCUUCAGGCUGGUGGACAGACCCACCAAGGCCUUAUCAGCUAGCUACAACACCUGGAGGGGGCUCAGUGGUCUUUUCCCACUCCCAUGCCCACCAUCUGGGCUGUGUCCCCUGAAGAGGGAUGGGACAUUUGCUCAGAGAGACAUGGGCAGCGCAUUUCUAUUGAAAAAGGCCUGUAAGGUAACCAGGGACAUUGCUGGCCAGGAGAUAGCUGCCUGGAAGUAACAACCAACCUCUUGAGAACCUGCUUAUCCAGGUGACAGCCACCAGCACUGUUGCUCUGCCCUCCUGGGCAUGUGUAUGGAGAGCAGGCAAGCAGAGACAGGAACUUUCCUGAGAACUCAGGAAACUAUAAAUAAAAAAGAAAAUAGGAACCAAACCUUUUCACACUAAAGGGAGUCCGCAUAUGGAAGAAGUUACUGGAACAAAAAGUCAGCAAGGGACAUAAAUGAGUUCACCAUACAUCUUGCUCAGUCGGCUAGAACAAGGCCCAGAGGGACGCAGAAUAAGAAAGGAGAGAAUAGGCCACGAUCUCCCUUUCUUUAUCAGUUAUACAUUCAUUGGUUCCACAAAAAUGUCAGAGAAACUAGGCACUUGAAAUGUGAGAUAGAAGGAUCAUGGGUUCAAGGCUAGCUUGGGCUACACAGUGGAAUCUUGUCUUUAAAAACAAUAAUACGAGGGCUGGAGAGAUGGCUCAGAGAGUAAGAGCCUCCUCGGCUGCUCUUCAAGGGGAGUCGGAGUCAAUUCCCAGAACACACAUGGAGGCUCACAUCAUAACCACCUCUAAUUCCAAUCCCAGGGAUACAUAUGAUGUCCUUGUGUGGCCUCCUUGAGCACUGCAUGGCUGUGUGCCACAGCCAUGCAUUUGGGUGAACACUCAUGCAUAUAAAAUAAAAAUAAAUACCCCCCCAAAGAUUUAGAAAUGUGAUUUAAAAGUAAAAACAAUGGUAUAAGGACUGAGAAUUUAGCUCAGUGGGUAAGAACACUUGUGCAACCGUGAGGACCUGAGUUUAGACCCCCCCUCCCACAGCACCCACGUAAAAAUCUGAGUGUGACUGUAUACUCUGUAACCCCAGCAGUGUGGGGAGAGCAGACAGGAGGGAUGCUGCCAUUUUAUGGCCACCAGCCUAGCUGGAUAAACAAAAGUUCAGUGAGAAGCUAUAUCUCCAGGGAUUAAGAUGGGGAGCAAUAGAUAAGGAUAUCCAAUGUUCUCUUGGCUCUGUACACACAGGUACACACACACACACACACACACACACACACACACACACACACACUGAUGACUACCUACUAGACAGCCAUUGUGCCAGAUUCCAAGGAACAAGGAUGAAAUAAAGCCUGGUCCCUGUUCUUAAAUUUCCCACUGAGUAGUGUUGUCAUUGCCUAGGGCUUUUUCAGUUUUAGGGUUCUAUUAUAAGUCUCUCAGGAGGCACUGGUGAGAUGGCUCAGAAGUUAAGGGCAUUGUCUGCCCUUGCAGCGGACCCAGAUGCAAUUCCCAGCAGCCACAUAGUGGCUUACAACGGGCUGUUAACUCCAGACCUAGAGGAUCUGACAUCCUCUUCCGGCCUCUGUGGGCAUGGCAUGGAUAUAAUGCAUACACAUACAUACAUGUAGGUGGAAUAGCCAUAUACAAAAAAGUGAGUCUUUUUUGUAAGCAAUAGCCUGGCUUUUAAAAGCAAGACACACCCACCUAUAGUUCAGGGCACUGUUUUUACAGGGUUCAAAAGUAUUUGAUCACUGGCUAAUUGGAAAUUUAAGCAAGAGGGCAAUAACCAUGAAGCCUAGCAUUUUGUGGGGGUAGCCUGUACUUUCCUGUAAUUUGGAGAAUGUUUAUGUAUGAAGGAAAAUAAGACAAUUGACUAUCCCAGACAUUUUUACUUUCAGCUUAUUAAAUAAAAAGAAAACAUUUUUUAAAAUUGUAUAUAGUCUGUGUGUGUGUGAGAGAGAGAGAGAGAGAGAGAGAGAGAGAGAGAGAGAGAGUGUGUCAUAGCCCUUGUGUGAAAAUCAGAGGCCAACAUUUAAAAAUCUAUUCUCUCCUUCUACUGUGUGUGGAAAUCAGGUAUGGAAAUCAGGCUUUCAGAAUUGGCAGCAAGUGCCUUUACCAGCUGAACCACCUUGCUGAACAACAAAAAAAAAGUCAACUAUUAAGAAAAAAACAAAACUAAAAACACUUCAAAUCACAAAAAAAGUUAUCAUCAUAGUUAAAUUUACUGUAUACAUUUAAAUUACAUUUUGAGCUACCAUUAUAAUAUUGCAUAUUUUUAAAAGAUUUUCCAUUAACUCAGGGUUUUGUUUUGUUUUAACACGCCAUGUAGGAAUAUGGAGGCUGAAACCUCAUAUCUGGAGCAAGAAGUCAUCCACUACAACCCCAGAAUUUCCUAAAGUUAGCAAAUCUGCCAACAUUGGUGGUUUUGGGCCAUUUCCCACACAGCAGCUCUGCCCCGCAGAGGCCAGAGCCCAUAUUCAGUGAGGCUCAAACCUACAGAUUCAAGCUGUGUUGAGCAGUACCACCUGGAAAGGUAAAAGUGUAAAAACAGCAUAAAAAGUAAACUUGAACUCCACAUCCCAAAUGCAGAAAGAGCAGCGUUCUGUCUGUUUUUCCAUAGCGUGCCCUGCAGGAGGGGACAAUUCGG